AAUCUUGCGCAAUGGGCGAAAGCCUGACGCAGCAACGCCGCGUGGGGGAUGAAGGCCUUCCGGGUUGUAAACCCCUUUCGGCAGGGACGAAACUGACGGUACCUGCAGAAGAAGCCCCGGCCAACUACGUGCCAGCAGCCGCGGUGAUACGUAGGGGGCGAGCGUUGUCCGGAUUUAUUGGGCGUAAAGAGCUCGUAGGCGGCUUGGUCAGUCGAGUGUGAAACCUCCAGGCUCAACCUGGAGCCGCCACUCGAUACUGCCAUGGCUAGAGUCCGGUAGGGGACCACGGAAUUCCUGGUGUAGCGGUGAAAUGCGCAGAUAUCAGGAGGAACACCGGUGGCGAAGGCGGUGGUCUGGGCCGGUACUGACGCUGAGGAGCGAAAGCGUGGGGAGCGA
This 396-nucleotide ribosomal RNA is filed under the name uncultured Acidimicrobiales bacterium. RNAcentral describes it as "bacterial SSU rRNA". It matches the Rfam family "Bacterial small subunit ribosomal RNA", at positions 360 to 771 of the family's 1533-position model. Lineage: Bacteria; Bacillati; Actinomycetota; Acidimicrobiia; Acidimicrobiales. The record is from RNAcentral.